Unclassified non-coding RNA from Carlito syrichta (Philippine tarsier), 98 nucleotides. It matches the Rfam family "Y RNA". Rfam says of the family: Y RNAs are components of the Ro ribonucleoprotein particle (Ro RNP), in association with Ro60 and La proteins. The Y RNAs and Ro60 and La proteins are well conserved, but the function of the Ro RNP is not known. The record is from Ensembl. NCBI's taxonomy places the organism in Eukaryota, Metazoa, Chordata, Mammalia, Primates, Tarsiidae.
AGCUAGUCUGAGUACAGUGGUGUUUACAACUAAUUGAUCACAGCAAGUUACAGAUUUCUUCUUUCUCCAUUCCUGCUGCUUCACUGAACUAACAUACA